Molecule: long non-coding RNA, 1360 nt
Filed under: Monodelphis domestica (gray short-tailed opossum)
Lineage: Eukaryota; Metazoa; Chordata; Mammalia; Didelphimorphia; Didelphidae
Description: lncRNA (ENSMODG00000038260.1)
Source: RNAcentral
UGAGGGAAUAGAGGAGUAUGUGUCAGGAAGAGAGGGAAAGCCAGUAGGGCUUUGAAGCUCAGACUGUGAGAGGCAGAGUAGUAUACCAUAAGGCUAGGAAAAUAGAUUGGGACCAGGUGGUGAGGGCCUUUAAAGACUAAAUAGAGCUUACCUUUGAUCCCAGAGGCAAUAGAAAGCCACCAGUUUAUCGAGUAGGAGAAGAGAAACAACCAGAUCUCUAUUAAGGAAAAUAAUUUUGGCUACAGUGUGUAGAAUGGCCAGAAAGAGGCAAGAAGGCCAUUGCAAUAGACCAGCUUUCUGAUGUUAUCACAAAAAACGGCACGGAAAAGUCAGUCCACUCUGGAAAGGUAACAUUUUCAUUGCUUCACAAAAUCUCUUUGAAGAUAGCUUUAUCGGUUUGCUUUAAACAUCCUUUCCUAAAUAACAAGUAUGAAUUUCAUUGUUGGUAGUUCUUUUUACUGAAACUGGGUCACUGACAGCUAUCAGUAUUGAGAAAACGUCAUUGCUUCACGGAGAAAGUCUCGUUCUCCAAACAAGGGUUUGGCACUGGAAAAUAUCAGAAGACAGCCAGGGAUACACAGAAGCUGAUUUCCUGUCCCUUAAAAGCUUAUCUUACUGUGUGAUAGAAGCACUUUUGAAAAUUUAAGUGUAAGCUGAGUUUUUAUCACUCAAACCAUGUUCUGUAUGUAAAGGAGUUCAACAAUGAACCUUCCUCGUUGCACAUUUGAACCAUUUAUCAAAAGGUAAGUGUCGCUAGUACCAUGAUCCCAGGCUUAUUUCCUGUUUUCCUCUAAGGAACUCAUCCCAUGGAGGUUUCAGUCUUCCCCACAGUAUUUCAUAGUUGUAUGAGAUGCACAUUAUUGUUGGGUCAUAUCAGUCAUGUCCAACUCUGACUCCAUUUGAGAUUUUCUUGGCAAAGGUCCUGGGAUGGUUUGCCAUUUCCUUCUAGAGCUCAUUUUUACAUAUAAGGAAAUUGAGGUAAUCAGAGUUAAAUGACUUGCCUGGAGUCACACAGCUAGAAAGGAUCUGAAGUUGGAUUUGAACUCAGAAAGAUGUCUUCUUGAUUCUAGACCUGAAAUUCUAUCCACUCUGCCAUCUCACUGCCCAUGAGAUGCACAACUCAUCCUCUUUGGGAAGCAAAUAACAGUUUGUAAGGAAUUUAUUUUGAGAUUCUUUUUUGUAAACUCUUUACCUUCCAUUUUAGAAUCAACACUUGGUAUUGGUUCCAAGGCAGAAGAGUGGUAAGGGCUAGGCAACAGGGUUAAGUGACUUGUCCAAGGUCACACAGCUGGGAAGAGGCUGAGGCCAGGUUUGAACCUAGGACCUCCUGCCUCUAGGUCUGGCUCUUUAUCCACUGAAC